UAGGGAAUCUUCGGCAAUGGACGAAAGUCUGACCGAGCAACGCCGCGUGAGUGAAGAAGGUUUUCGGAUCGUAAAACUCUGUUGUUAGAGAAGAACAAGGACGUUAGUAACUGAACGUCCCCUGACGGUAUCUAACCAGAAAGCCACGGCUAACUACGUGCCAGCAGCCGCGGUAAUACGUAGGUGGCAAGCGUUGUCCGGAUUUAUUGGGCGUAAAGCGAGCGCAGGCGGUUUCUUAAGUCUGAUGUGAAAGCCCCCGGCUCAACCGGGGAGGGUCAUUGGAAACUGGGAGACUUGAGUGCAGAAGAGGAGAGUGGAAGUCCAUGUGUAGCGGUGAAAUGCGUAGAUAUAUGGAGGAACACCAGUGGCGAAGGCGGCGCUCUGGUCUGUAACGGACGCUGAGGCUAGAAAGCGUGGGGAGCAAACAGG
This 429-nucleotide ribosomal RNA is filed under the name Gemmatimonadota bacterium. Its description in RNAcentral is "Gemmatimonadetes bacterium partial 16S ribosomal RNA". It matches the Rfam family "Bacterial small subunit ribosomal RNA", at positions 355 to 776 of the family's 1533-position model. The record is from RNAcentral. Lineage: Bacteria; Pseudomonadati; Gemmatimonadota.